This 502-nucleotide ribosomal RNA is filed under the name Euphaea formosa. RNAcentral describes it as "partial 16S ribosomal RNA". It matches the Rfam family "Archaeal large subunit ribosomal RNA", at positions 1924 to 2666 of the family's 2987-position model. The record is from RNAcentral. Lineage: Eukaryota; Metazoa; Arthropoda; Insecta; Odonata; Euphaeidae.
GUCUUCCUGUUUUUAUUGGAAGUCUGACCUGCCCAGUGAUUAUUUUAACGGCCGCGGUAUAUUGACCGUGCAAAGGUAGCAUAAUCAUUAGUCUUUUAAAAGGAGGCUGGAAUGAAAGGUUUGACGAGACAUUGACUGUCUCAUCCUCAAUUAUUAAAAUUUAACUUUUAAGUUAAAAGGCUUAAAUUUUAUUGGAAGACGAGAAGACCCUAUAGAGCUUUAUGGUUUUGUCUUUAUUUUCUUUAUAAUUAGUUUUAUUGAUUGAACUGUUUUGUUGGGGUGACAAGAAAUAUAAAUUUAACUUUUUUAUUUUUAAUACAUUUAUUUAUGAUUCUUUAGAUCCAUUAUUAUUGAUUGUUAGAGUAAGUUACCUUAGGGAUAACAGCGUAAUCUUCUUUUGGAGUUCAAAUUUACAAGAAGGAUUGCGACCUCGAUGUUGGAUUAAGAUUAUAACUGGGUGCAGUAGCUCAGCGGUAUAGGUCUGUUCGACCUUUAAAUUCUU